GGCACGGUGGCACAGAGGUUAGUACUACUGCCUUUCAGCAAGAAGCUUGUGGGUUCGAAUCCGGCCUGGGGCC
This is a non-coding RNA of Gymnothorax javanicus (giant moray), 73 nucleotides long. NCBI's taxonomy places the organism in Eukaryota, Metazoa, Chordata, Actinopteri, Anguilliformes, Muraenidae. The record is from the annotation of a GenBank genome assembly.